RNAcentral lists this ribosomal RNA (484 nucleotides) under uncultured bacterium. Its description in RNAcentral is "partial 16S ribosomal RNA". It matches the Rfam family "Bacterial small subunit ribosomal RNA", at positions 30 to 507 of the family's 1533-position model. The record is from RNAcentral.
AUUGAACGCUGGCGGCAGGCCUAACACAUGCAAGUCGAGCGGAAGAAGGGAGCUUGCUCCUGGAUUCAGCGGCGGACGGGUGAGUAAUGCCUAGGAAUCUGCCUGGUAGUGGGUGAUAACGUCCGGAAACGGGCGCUAAUACCGCAUACGUCCUGAGGGAGAAAGUGGGGGAUCUUCGGACCUCACGCUAUCAGAUGAGCCUAGGUCGGAUUAGCUAGUUGGUGGGGUAAAGGCCUACCAAGGCGACGAUCCGUAACUGGUCUGAGAGGAUGAUCAGUCACACUGGAACUGAGACACGGUCCAGACUCCUACGGGAGGCAGCAGUGGGGAAUAUUGGACAAUGGGCGAAAGCCUGAUCCAGCCAUGCCGCGUGUGUGAAGAAGGUCUUCGGAUUGUAAAGCACUUUAAGUUGGGAGGAAGGGCAGUAAGUUAAUACCUUGCUGUUUUGACGUUACCAACAGAAUAAGCACCGGCUAACUUCGUG